Molecule: ribosomal RNA, 468 nt
Filed under: uncultured bacterium
Lineage: Bacteria
Description: partial 16S ribosomal RNA
Rfam family: Bacterial small subunit ribosomal RNA
Source: RNAcentral
GACGAACGCUGGCGGCGUGCUUAACACAUGCAAGUCGAACGGAAAGGCACUGCUUUUGUGGGGUGCUCGAGUGGCGAACGGGUGAGUAACACGUGAGUAACCUGCCCUUGACUUUGGGAUAACUUCAGGAAACUGGGGCUAAUACCGGAUAGGAGCUCCUGCUGCAUGGUGGGGGUUGGAAAGUUUCGGCGGUUGGGGAUGGACUCGCGGCUUAUCAGCUUGUUGGUGGGGUAGUGGCUUACCAAGGCUUUGACGGGUAGCCGGCCUGGGAGGGUGACCGGCCACAUUGGGACUGAGAUACGGCCCAGACUCCUACGGGAGGCAGCAGUGGGGAAUAUGACACAAUGGGCGGAAGCCUGAUGCAGCAACGCCGCGUGCGGGAUGACGGCCUGCGGGUUGUAAACCGCUUUCGCCUGUGACGAAGCGUGAGUGACGGUAAUGAGUAAAGAAGCACCGGCUAACUACGUG